UAUCACUAUUCCCUGUUCUCUUUCUCUAUCACCAUGAGUAAUUCAAACAGUACAGGUCUGAAGGGAAAGUGACAAUCUUUCUAGCAACUAGAGAGAUUGAAAUUUCAUAGUGAUGAGAAGGGCAGAAGGAACUGACCAAUGACUGAGGAGGAGAGGCAGCAUCUGCAGGAACUGGACCAUAGGCUUGUAGAAUGUUGGAAUUGGAAGGGGAGCACUGAGGCCAGUGUCAUGGCCAGCAUGGAUGACCUGAGGAGCAAGGAGUGACCUUUGGGAAUGAUCUUCAGGACCCCAGACUAGCAGAAGGUCUCAUCUAGCAGUAAUGCUGACUUUGGAGAUGAACUAUUAGAACCAAUGCUACGUACAAAGAUCUUCUCCAAAACCUUCGUGAGAGGAGAAAAGGAAGAGUAAAUUCUACAGACAUUUUCCCACAUUUGACAAGGAAGAAACGGAUCCAGAGAGAGACUGAGGGGUGUACCCACAGACCACAUAGCUAGUGAACCAUCUUUAUGAAGCUCCCCAACCUUUCCUGGUAUUAAGAUAAGAGGUCCUGUUUCUGUGGUGUAUCAUUCGUCUCUCCUGGCUGAUGAAGAUUUUGUCUAGAGAGCUUAGAUAUCAGCUCUGGGGUCAACCUUAUAUUCAAGUGAGAGGGGUAGUGGUCAUCUGUGGAGGGCACAAAAACUUGAAGGACACAAGAAAGUCCUAAUUCCCUAUGGAAACUCAAUGGUCUACUAAAAAUCCCGUCAUAUUUUAGAGAUGCUGACUUUCCCAAGAAGACUUGAAUAAGACUAUAUUGAGGUCCAAAUCAUUAGCACCCUAUCUACUGUCUUAGCUGAAUUAAUACUGGAAUGGAAGAGUUGAAGAUGCCCCAGUUCUUGCUACUUCUUGGAGAGCAAAAGGUAAGUUCCUUUUGACCUAGAAUUGAGUGAACUGAUCUCAGAAGAAUAUAGGAUAACCACACCAUGACUAAGACCCAAGAUUCUGAGUUUGUAGGACAUCCUCAUCAGCUGUUCUCCAAAUGCAGGCACGUAGAAGCAAAGGGGUUAGAUAAGGGAAUCACAUUGGAUCAGGAAUGAGGGAGAGAGACAGAGGGAAAGAAAUGGGUUGCUACCCUGUUAGAGUUCUGCUGAACAAGAAAGUAUGGAGAAAGAAGAGAAAGUAUGUUAUGCUUUUCCCUCUGGCAUGUGGAAAAGUCCUGGUGACUUCAAAGCACUGAAUAGGCUCUGAUUAGGCUCUAUUUCAUGCUUUGGAAAAAUGAAUAAAGUGGUAUGUGAGCACCUAACAGUACACAUGCUUAAUUACCCUCUGGCUAUGGACCAUGCCAAUGAAGAAAGGUUGGCAAACACCUACAUUCUUCUCCUACACACAGAAAUGGAUAAAGUCACUAGAUUGAAACAAACCAUCCAUGGAAAUCAGAAUCUGAAUUAGAGCAAGGAUUCAAGAAAGGGAGUGAGUAGAGGAACAGAUAUCCUGAAAUUUCCUUAGCUUGUGCCAAGUUUUCCAGGGCCACGGAGUUACCACAGGAGUCAUGCCCUAGUGAACUUCAGCCAAGGAACCCCUCAUUCAGCUAUGGAAACUCGAAAUAUUUCUGUCCAGAGAAAAGAAAGGGAGAGAGGAGAGAUGGAGGGAAUGAAGUAUGUGUUUUAGAAUAGAUUAUAGAAUCUGAUAGUUGAAAACAUCUUUAGAAGUCACUUAUUCUACUUUCUCCUUGAUGAAAAAAAAACCUUUUGAUAUGGUUUUUAGAUAUUUCAAUCAUUAAAUAGAUCUGUGAUCUCAUCCA
Molecule: long non-coding RNA, 1777 nt
Organism: Monodelphis domestica (gray short-tailed opossum)
Lineage: Eukaryota; Metazoa; Chordata; Mammalia; Didelphimorphia; Didelphidae
Source: RefSeq, a predicted model, not a curated record